Molecule: ribosomal RNA, 230 nt
Filed under: uncultured bacterium
Lineage: Bacteria
Description: partial 16S ribosomal RNA
Rfam family: Bacterial small subunit ribosomal RNA
Source: RNAcentral
CGGGUGAGUAACGCGUGGAUAACCUGCCUCACACAGGGGAUAACAGUUAGAAAUGACUGCUAAUACCGCAUAAGCGCACAGUACCGCAUGGUAUAGUGUGAAAAACUCCGGUGGUGUGAGAUGGAUCCGCGUCUGAUUAGGUAGUUGGUGAGGUAACGGCCCACCAAGCCGACGAUCAGUAGCCGACCUGAGAGGGUGACCGGCCACAUUGGGACUGAGACACGGCCCAA